Molecule: ribosomal RNA, 371 nt
Filed under: uncultured organism
Description: partial 16S ribosomal RNA
Rfam family: Bacterial small subunit ribosomal RNA
Source: RNAcentral
GGAGGGAGCUAGCGUUGUUCGGAAUUACUGGGCGUAAAGCGCACGUAGGCGGCUUUGUAAGUCAGAGGUGAAAGCCUGGAGCUCAACUCCAGAACUGCCUUUGAGACUGCAUCGCUUGAAUCCAGGAGAGGUGAGUGGAAUUCCGAGUGUAGAGGUGAAAUUUGUAGAUAUUCGGAAGAACACCAGUGGCGAAGGCGGCUCACUGGACUGGUAUUGACGCUGAGGUGCGAAAGCGUGGGGGGAGCAAACAGGAUUAGAUACCUGGUAGUCCACGCCGUAAACGAUGAUAACUAGCUGUCCGGGCACUUGGUGCUUGGGUGGCGCAGCUAACGCAUUAAGUUAUCCGCCUGGGGAGUACGGUCGCAAGAUUA